UACGAAGGGGGCUAGCGUUGUUCGGAUUUACUGGGCGUAAAGGGCGCGUAGGCGGUCAGCACAAGUCAGUUGUGAAAUCUCCGAGCUUAACUCGGAAAGGUCAACUGAUACUGUGCGACUAGAGUGCGGAAGGGGCAACUGGAAUUCUUGGUGUAGCGGUGAAAUGCGUAGAUAUCAAGAGGAACACCUGCGGCGAAGGCGGGUUGCUGGGCCGACACUGACGCUGAGGCGCGAAAGCUAGGGGAGCGAACGGG
RNAcentral lists this ribosomal RNA (254 nucleotides) under uncultured bacterium. Its description in RNAcentral is "partial 16S ribosomal RNA". It matches the Rfam family "Bacterial small subunit ribosomal RNA", at positions 524 to 776 of the family's 1533-position model. The record is from RNAcentral.